This 66-nucleotide transfer RNA is filed under the name Agapanthia daurica. RNAcentral's name for it is "tRNA-His". The record is from RNAcentral. Lineage: Eukaryota; Metazoa; Arthropoda; Insecta; Coleoptera; Cerambycidae.
AAUUCAAAUAGUUUAAAAAAAAUAUUGAUUUGUGGAAUCAGAGAUAUAUGUAUAUAUAUAUUGAAU